AACAGCCGCGGUAAUUCCAGCUCCAAUAGCGUAUAUUAAAGUUGUUGCAGUUAAAAAGCUCGUAGUUGAAUUUUGGGUUUGGCCAAUUGGUCCGUUCUUGUAACGAGUACUGGUUGGUUGGGCCUCACCGCCUGGUGAUGCGUAAUGUCCUUUAUUGGGUGUUGCGAGUAGCCAGGACCUUUACCUUGAAAAAAUUAGAGUGUUUAAAGCAGGCUUAUGCCGGAAUACAUUAGCAUGGAAUAAUAGAAUAGGACGAUGAUUCUAUUUUGUUGGUUUCUAGGAGCAUCGUAAUGAUUAAUAGGGAUAGUUGGGGGCAUUAGUAUUCAAUUGUCAGAGGUGAAAUUCUUGGAUUUAUUGAAGACUAACUACUGCGAAAGCAUUUGCCAAGGAUGUUUUCAUUAAUCAAGAACGAAAGUUAGGGGAUCGAAGACGAUCAGAUACCGUCGUAGUCUUAACCAUAAACUAUGCCGACUAGGGAUCGGGCGAUGUUGUUUCAAUGACUCGCUCGGCACCUUAUG
This 518-nucleotide ribosomal RNA is filed under the name uncultured Archaeosporaceae. RNAcentral's name for it is "SSU rRNA". It matches the Rfam family "Eukaryotic small subunit ribosomal RNA", at positions 569 to 1092 of the family's 1831-position model. Lineage: Eukaryota; Fungi; Glomeromycota; Glomeromycetes; Archaeosporales; Archaeosporaceae. The record is from RNAcentral.